RNAcentral lists this transfer RNA (67 nucleotides) under Sphingobacterium sp. 21. Its description in RNAcentral is "tRNA-Ala (CGC) (tRNA-Ala-CGC-1-1)". It matches the Rfam family "tRNA". Rfam says of the family: Transfer RNA (tRNA) molecules are approximately 80 nucleotides in length. Their secondary structure includes four short double-helical elements and three loops (D, anti-codon, and T loops). Further hydrogen bonds mediate the characteristic L-shaped molecular structure. tRNAs have two regions of fundamental functional importance: the anti-codon, which is responsible for specific mRNA codon recognition, and the 3' end, to which the tRNAs corresponding amino acid is attached (by aminoacyl-tRNA synthetases). tRNAs cope with the degeneracy of the genetic code in two manners: having more than one tRNA (with a specific anti-codon) for a particular amino acid; and 'wobble' base-pairing, i.e. permitting non-standard base-pairing at the 3rd anti-codon position. The record is from RNAcentral. Lineage: Bacteria; Pseudomonadati; Bacteroidota; Sphingobacteriia; Sphingobacteriales; Sphingobacteriaceae.
GGUCGGAUGGCUGAGUGGUUAGGCAGAGCUCCGCAAUCUCACAGUGGUUCGAAUCCACUUCCGACCU